AUUGAACGCUGGCGGCAGGCCUAACACAUGCAAGUCGAGCGGAGCGGCGGACGGGUGAGUAAUGCCUAGGAAUCUGCCUGGUAGUGAGGGAUAACGUCCGGAAACGGGCGCUAAUACCGCAUACUAUCAGAUGAGCCUAGGUCGGAUUAGCUAGUUGGUGGGGUAUAGGCCUACCAAGGCGACGAUCCGUAACUGGGCUGAGAGGAUGAUCAGUCACACUGGAACGGAGACACGGUCCAGACUCAUACGGGAGGCAGCAGUGGUGAAUAUUGGACAAGGGGCGAAAGCCUGAUCCAGCCAUGCCGCGUGUGUGAAGAAGUUCUUCGGAUAUGAAAGCAAUUUAAGUUGGGAGGCGUUACCAACAGAAUAAGCACCGGCUAACUCCGUGCCAGCAGCCGCGGUAAUUC
Molecule: ribosomal RNA, 407 nt
Filed under: uncultured bacterium
Lineage: Bacteria
Description: partial 16S ribosomal RNA
Rfam family: Bacterial small subunit ribosomal RNA
Source: RNAcentral